UUUUGCAUAUCAAUAAGCUGAGGAAAAGAAACCAACAGGGAUUGCCUCAGUAACGGCGAGUGAAGCGGCAACAGCUCAAAUUUGAAAUCUGGCCUCUUGGGGUCCGAGUUGUAAUUUGUAGAGGAUGUUUCGGGUACCGCCUCGGUUUAAAUUUCUUGGAACAGAAUGUCAAAGAGGGUGAGAAUCCCGUCUUGGACCGGCGGUAGGGCCUAUGUGAAACUCCUUCGACGAGUCGAGUUGUUUGGGAAUGCAGCUCAAAAUGGGUGGUAAAUUUCAUCUAAAGCUAAAUAUUGGCCAGAGACCGAUAGCGCACAAGUAGAGUGAUCGAAAGAUGAAAAGCACUUUGAAAAGAGAGUUAAACAGUAUGUGAAAUUGUUGAAAGGGAAGCGCUUGCAACCAGACUUGAGCGCGGCGGUUCCCCCUUGCUUCUGCUUGGGUUACUCCGCCGUGUCCAGGCCAACAUCGGUUCUGGGGGUCGGUCAAAGGCUCUGGGAAUGUAUCUACCCACGGGUAGACUUAUAGACCAGGGUGUCAUGCGACCUCCCGGGACCGAGGAACGCGCUUCGGCUCGGAUGUUGGCGUAAUGGUUGUCAGCGACCCGUCUUGAACCAAGGGACCAAA
Molecule: ribosomal RNA, 621 nt
Filed under: Fonsecaea nubica
Lineage: Eukaryota; Fungi; Ascomycota; Eurotiomycetes; Chaetothyriales; Herpotrichiellaceae
Description: partial large subunit ribosomal RNA
Rfam family: Eukaryotic large subunit ribosomal RNA
Source: RNAcentral